GGGGAUAUAGCUCAGUUGGUAGAGUGCUUGCCUGGCCUGCACAGGGACCUGGGUUCAAUCCCCAGUACCA
Molecule: transfer RNA, 70 nt
Filed under: Marmota marmota marmota (Alpine marmot)
Lineage: Eukaryota; Metazoa; Chordata; Mammalia; Rodentia; Sciuridae
Also listed under: 3 other names
Rfam family: tRNA
About the family: Transfer RNA (tRNA) molecules are approximately 80 nucleotides in length.
Source: Rfam by way of RNAcentral